CCUACGGGCGGCUGCAGUGGGGAAUAUUGGACAAUGAGGGCAACCCUGAUCCAGCCAUGCCGCGUGUGUGAAGAAGGCCCUCGGGUUGUAAAGCACUUUCAGUGAGGAAGAACGCCUGGUGGUUAAUACCCAUCAGGAAAGACAUCACUCACAGAAGAAGCACCGGCUAACUCCGUGCCAGCAGCCGCGGUAAUACGGAGGGUGCGAGCGUUAAUCGGAAUUACUGGGCGUAAAGCGCGCGUAGGUGGCUUGAUAAGCCGGUUGUGAAAGCCCCGGGCUCAACCUGGGAACGGCAUCCGGAACUGUCAAGCUAGAGUGCAGGAGAGGAAGGUAGAAUUCCCGGUGUAGCGGUGAAAUGCGUAGAGAUCGGGAGGAAUACCAGUGGCGAAGGCGGCCUUCUGGACUGACACUGACACUGAGGUGCGAAAGCGUGGGUAGCAAACAGGAUUAGAUACCCCGGUAGUC
Molecule: ribosomal RNA, 465 nt
Filed under: Vreelandella stevensii
Lineage: Bacteria; Pseudomonadati; Pseudomonadota; Gammaproteobacteria; Oceanospirillales; Halomonadaceae
Description: partial 16S ribosomal RNA
Rfam family: Bacterial small subunit ribosomal RNA
Source: RNAcentral